CAGUGGCGGACGGGUGCGUAACACGUGAGGAACAUGACCUUCGGCGGGGGAUAGCCGGCCCAACGGCCGGGUAAUACCGCGUACGACCUUCUGGGGACAUCCCUGGAUGGUGAAAGCAGCAAUGCGCCGACGGAGUGCCUCGCGGCCUAUCAGCUAGUUGGUGAGGUAACGGCUCACCAAGACGACGACGGGUAGCUGGUCUGAGAGGAUGGCCAGCCACAUUGGGACUGAGACACGGCCCAGACUCCUACGGGAGGCAGCAGUGGGGAAUAUUGCGCAAUGGACGAAAGUCUGACGCAGCGACGCCGCGUGUGGGAUGACGGUCUUCGGAUUGUAAACCACUGUCGGGAGGGACGAAUACGCCGCAAGGCGGGUGACGGUACCUCCAA
RNAcentral lists this ribosomal RNA (389 nucleotides) under uncultured bacterium. RNAcentral describes it as "bacterial SSU rRNA". It matches the Rfam family "Bacterial small subunit ribosomal RNA", at positions 93 to 484 of the family's 1533-position model. The record is from RNAcentral.